Molecule: long non-coding RNA, 248 nt
Filed under: Delphinapterus leucas (beluga whale)
Lineage: Eukaryota; Metazoa; Chordata; Mammalia; Artiodactyla; Monodontidae
Description: lncRNA (ENSDLEG00000012813.1)
Source: RNAcentral
GGAAAGGAAGAAGAAAGGGUAAAUAAAUGUACCAAGAUGAAUAAGGUUUUGAGUAGGAACAAUCCUACAAAUAACUUGCAAGAUGUGUGACCUGAAUGAGGGCCUCAAAAAGUCUAAGCCACCCCAAAGCUUGGAUGACAGACUUGUAGACCCUGAAGCUGAUGGUGACAAAGAGGAGAGCCAGGAUGAUGUAAGAAGCCACAGUGAUGAUGCUGAAAUCUCCAGGGUAAGUAGCACUAUCAGUGUGG